CUAUGUGAGGAAAGUUUCGCUUUUGUAUUCAUUCUAUUUAUUUGCUGCUGGCAUGAGAACCCUAAACGCUAAAUAGGCAGAGUUAUUUAAGCAUAAGAUUCAAAAGUAGCGAAGAAGGUGGUAUGUUACAUCGGUGAGUGUUCGAGCCCGUAGCAGAUAGCUCUUAUUAAACUAGGUCAGUCGAGACAAAAGUGAAUAAACCCGCUCAACGGAGGCAGCCAAAUGACUGGUUCUUGAGUAACAGGUUGGCUUGCGGCUGGUAAAUAAACGAAUCAAACGAUAGAACCGUUUCUUAUGAACAGGUUGUGUUGCUUUGUUAUGAAAACAAGUUGUGUUAUAACUCUGGUCUCGUUAGUUGGUAAAAUAACAGAACAAGUUAGUUAGUUGGUAAAAUAACAAAAAAAUUUCUAGUACGUAUCACGGGCAAAACGAUUAUAGAUGGAAAAGACGUUUCCAGAACGCUCACAUUGAACUUUGCCAAAGCCUAAGGACUGUGUUCUCUUUUAGAGUUUUCGAUUGAAGGAACUGGUGUAGUUUUCUGCACUGAAAUUGCACUUUUCUUGCAGCAUUGUUGUCAAAACACCGACACCAUGUUCCAUUGAUUGGAACUGCAAUAAAAAAGUACAAUUCCAGUGCAAUUUCGGGGCAGAGAUUUGGCACCGAAAAUUUUGUCGAUGGAGCCAGUGCAAUCACUAAUACCAACAACGCAAAUGUCAUAACAACAUUGGAAGAUUGUGGCACGAAAAAAUUCAAAAAUCUUCACGAAUGCAAACUUUUCCAAACUAGUGUGGACAGAAUUGAGAGCCCGCGAGUCUUGAAGCUUGAAUCAGAUGGAAUGCUGUCGAUCGUGAAAAGCAGUGGCUGUUGGUGUUUUUACUUUCAGAGAUGUUCGGUGCUGCGACAACUGAACAAAUGACCAUCAUGCUAUCAACAGUGAUAGUGAUAAUCGCUUGUGCACCCUGACUGAUAGCACUCUUCUCUGAGCCCUGGUUAAACUUCACCCUACUUUGAUGGGCAGAGCGAUUGCCCCGAACAAAUCGGUUCGGAAUCCUGAAUGGAUUCAAGCUCAAAUACAAUAACCAAUACUGAAAUUGGUUACUGCUCUUGCCAUAGUCUUCCAGUUUCCGGUAAAAUAACCAACGUAGAGCUAGGUUGCAGUAGAGUGGCCGCGAAGGCUGAUGCAAAUCGUAGAAACUGUGUGGGUCCGUAGGUUCUAGGAAACCUUCCCAGCCAUCGAAAUUAGUCGUUCAUCAAAAUGUGGGAAGAUAUAGUUUGCAAUGUCGGUAAGACAAAUUCAUCCUUAGAAAGCUGCUCUAUUGCUUUGCGAUAAUUUGAAGAUUUACAUUAAUCGAAAAUAAAAUGUUGCAUUAAAUAAUUUUUUUUUAAUUCGUUUAUUUGAUAAGGCAGGUUUGCGUUAGCUUAAAGGUGCCAAUUUUGUUUUGUUUUACAUUUUAAA
This is a long non-coding RNA of Topomyia yanbarensis, 1456 nucleotides long. RefSeq lists it as uncharacterized. The record is from RefSeq and is a predicted model, not a curated record. The transcript has 3 exons. Lineage: Eukaryota; Metazoa; Arthropoda; Insecta; Diptera; Culicidae.